RNAcentral lists this long non-coding RNA (262 nucleotides) under Mustela putorius furo (domestic ferret). RNAcentral's name for it is "lncRNA (ENSMPUG00000023899.1)". The record is from RNAcentral. Lineage: Eukaryota; Metazoa; Chordata; Mammalia; Carnivora; Mustelidae.
UGCCUGUGUCAUUUUCACAAGAUUUCCCUCUUCUCUGCUCCUGUCUUCUCUUCUGUCUCUUAUAGGACACUUGUGAUUAGAUUUCAGACCGACAUUGUUCCUUUAGGAUUAUCUCAUCUUGAGAUACUUAACUUAAUUACAUCUGCAAAGAUUCUUUUUCCAAAGAAGGUCACGUUCCUGGAUUCUGGGUGGACAUGUCUUUGCAGGGAAUAGAUUAAAAGAACUUCGAAAACUCCUUUUGAUGAAACAAGUAAUAAAAUAU